GUCCUUGUCGAUUAGGGGUUAAAUCACCACGUUGUGGCCGUGGAGCCGGAAGUUCGAUUCCUCCCUGGGACA
This 72-nucleotide transfer RNA is filed under the name Fibroporia radiculosa. RNAcentral describes it as "tRNA-His (GTG) (tRNA-His-GTG-5-1)". It matches the Rfam family "tRNA". Rfam says of the family: Transfer RNA (tRNA) molecules are approximately 80 nucleotides in length. The record is from RNAcentral. Lineage: Eukaryota; Fungi; Basidiomycota; Agaricomycetes; Polyporales; Fibroporiaceae.